This 241-nucleotide ribosomal RNA is filed under the name uncultured bacterium. RNAcentral describes it as "partial 16S ribosomal RNA". It matches the Rfam family "Bacterial small subunit ribosomal RNA", at positions 678 to 916 of the family's 1533-position model. The record is from RNAcentral.
GCGGUGAAAUGCGUAGAUAUCAGGAGGAACACCGGUGGCGAAGGCGGGUCUCUGGGCCGAUACUGACGCUGAGGAGCGAAAGCGUGGGGAGCGAACAGGAUUAGAUACCCUGGUAGUCCACGCUGUAAACGUUGGGCGCUAGGUGUGGGGGGCCUCUCCGGUUCUCUGUGCCGCAGCUAACGCAUUAAGCGCCCCGCCUGGGGAGUACGGCCGCAAGGCUAAAACUCAAAGGAAUUGACGG